GAUGAACGCUGGCGGCGUGCCUAAUACAUGCAAGUCGAGCGAACGGACGAGAAGCUUGCUUCUCUGAUGUUAGCGGCGGACGGGUGAGUAACACGUGGAUAACCUACCUAUAAGACUGGGAUAACUUCGGGAAACCGGAGCUAAUACCGGAUAAUAUUUUGAACCGCAUGGUUCAAAAGUGAAAGACGGUCUUGCUGUCACUUAUAGAUGGAUCCGGGCUGCAUUAGCUAGUUGGUAAGGUAACGGCUUACCAAGGCAACGAUGCAUAGCCGACCUGAGAGGGGGAUCGGCCACACUGGAACUGAGACACGGUCCAGACUCCUACGGGAGGCAGCAGUAGGGAAUCUUCCGCAAUGGGCGAAAGCCUGACGGAGCAACGCCGCGUGAGUGAUGAAGGUCUUCGGAUCGUAAAACUCUGUUAUUAGGGAAGAACAUAUGUGUAAGUAACUGUGCACAUCUUGACGGUACCUAAUCAGAAAGCCACGGCUAACUACGUG
This 497-nucleotide ribosomal RNA is filed under the name uncultured bacterium. RNAcentral describes it as "partial 16S ribosomal RNA". It matches the Rfam family "Bacterial small subunit ribosomal RNA", at positions 28 to 507 of the family's 1533-position model. The record is from RNAcentral.